RNAcentral lists this long non-coding RNA (1155 nucleotides) under Anser cygnoides (Swan goose). RNAcentral describes it as "lncRNA (ENSACDG00005000069.1)". The record is from RNAcentral. Lineage: Eukaryota; Metazoa; Chordata; Aves; Anseriformes; Anatidae.
CGGAGGACAGCGCAGCCAGCCCAUCUUCCCGCUGCGACCCGCGAGGAACGAGGCCCCUCGGCCCCUGACUCACAGCCCCGCGGGCUCCCCUCAGCGCCCGCUCCUGCCUCAGCGAGCCCCCAGCCUCCCCUCCUCCGCUUCCCCCGGCCGAGCACCGCGCCGACCCCGAGACGCCUCCCGGCCACCGCACGCAGCGGUGCUGGGCAGGGUCAGCUCCCAGCCGGGCCGGCACCGAGCUCCACGGGGCGCAGCCCGGGGCCUGCCCUGCCCGUGCUGCGGGGCGGAGCCGCGCUCCUGCGGGAAACCCAAAGGGAGCGGAGCCCGGGGCGGCACCGGGGGGACCCCCGCAGCUCCCCUGGCUUGCUCCCCCCGCACGCCCUCGCACCGCCGGCAGCCCGCGGCUCCCCGCCCCCUUUCCUUGCAGGGCUCCGCCGCGGGAGCAGGCGAGGACGAAGGGCCCGCACCGGGGCAGGCUGCGGCUCGCCGCGCCCCCCCCGCCGUUACCUCAGCGGCCCCUCAGAGGCGAGCGCGGCCUCCCGGGGGGCGGCCGNNNNNNNNNNNNNNNNNNNNNNNNNNNNNNNNNNNNNNGCCGCGGCUCCGCGCCCGCUGCCCAGGGGGACCCCGCCGCGCUCCGGGGCCGGGGGUACCGGCAGCGCCCGGCGCGGCGGCCUCACGGAGCGGCGGGGAGGCGGCGGUGUGAGGCAGCGACCAGCGCCUUCCGUUCUCCUUCUCCGCAGCCCCGGCGCCGAGGUCGUGGCCGUGCGAGGAGCGGCUGGUGGAGCACCGCCAGCUCGCCGCAGCCGAGCGCCCAGACCCGCUGCGCCUCGCGUCGGACCCGCGGCCGGGCGGCGGCCGUGCCUGGCCCUGGAGCAGCCGUCGGAGACCCGGAGCAGCGCCCAGCCCGCAGGUCGAGGCUCCGGCGCCACGAUGACAGCUGGGAAAGGAAGGUGGUGGUGGGAGAGGUCACGCGCCCCCUGCGUAAGCCGUGGGCCCUGGGCGCUCGGCCUCCCAGGCUGGCCCCCUGCAGCGUGGGCCAGGAGGGGCUUGGGAGCAGAAAUACUCUCGGCUGGCCCAGGGACUGGGUGUCUGAGCUCUGCUGGGAACCUUUCAGCCAGAGUUGGGCUUGGGAACCCUUCAGCAUGGGCAGGAUGCUGA